GAUGAACGCUGGCAGCGUGCCUAAUACAUGCAAGUCGAGCGAACGGACGAGAAGCUUGCUUCUCUGAUGUUAGCGGCGGACGGGUGAGUAACACGUGGAUAACCUACCUAUAAGACUGGGAUAACUUCGGGAAACCGGAGCUAAUACCGGAUAAUAUUUUGAACCGCAUGGUUCAAAAGUGAAAGACGGUCUUGCUGUCACUUAUAGAUGGAUCCGCGCUGCAUUAGCUAGUUGGUAAGGUAACGGCUUACCAAGGCAACGAUGCAUAGCCGACCUGAGAGGGUGAUCGGCCACACUGGAACUGAGACACGGUCCAGACUCCUACGGGAGGCAGCAGUAGGGAAUCUUCCGCAAUGGGCGAAAGCCUGACGGAGCAGCGCCGCGUGAGUGAUGAAGGUCUUCGGAUCGUAAAACUCUGUUAUUAGGGAAGAACAUAUGUGUAAGUAACUGUGCACAUCUUGACGGUACCUAAUCAGAAAGCCACGGCUAACUACGUG
RNAcentral lists this ribosomal RNA (497 nucleotides) under uncultured bacterium. Its description in RNAcentral is "partial 16S ribosomal RNA". It matches the Rfam family "Bacterial small subunit ribosomal RNA", at positions 28 to 507 of the family's 1533-position model. The record is from RNAcentral.